Myripristis murdjan (pinecone soldierfish) is the source of this 88-nucleotide long non-coding RNA. RefSeq lists it as uncharacterized. The record is from RefSeq and is a predicted model, not a curated record. The transcript is spliced from 3 exons. NCBI's taxonomy places the organism in Eukaryota, Metazoa, Chordata, Actinopteri, Holocentriformes, Holocentridae.
AAUUACAAAUAUUGCCAGGCAAUUUAUAUUCACUACACUGACUAAAUUUCAAAGUAAUCUGACCCAACCCUUCAUGGUAUUGCUUUAA